AGGACGACGCUGGCGGCGUGCUUAAUACAUGCAAGUCGAGCGAGGCCUUGGAAUUGGAGUCCUUCGGGAUGAAGAGUCCUUGGCCUAGCGGCGGACGGGUGAGUAACGCGUGGGCAACCUACCCCAAAGUCCGGGAUAACAGUGGGAAACCGCUGCUAAUACCGGAUGGCUUUACCUGAGGGCAUCCUUGGGUAAAGAAAGGUUACGCUUUGGGAUGGGCCCGCGUCCCAUUAGCUAGUUGGUGAGGUAACGGCUCACCAAGGCGACGAUGGGUAGCCGGCCUGAGAGGGUGAACGGCCACACUGGGACUGAGACACGGCCCAGACUCCUACGGGAGGCAGCAGUAGGGAAUAUUGCGCAAUGGGCGGAAGCCUGACGCAGCGACGCCGCGUGAGCGAAGAAGGCCUUCGGGUCGUAAAGCUCUGUCCUUGGGGAAGAAGGCGAAAGCUUGACGGUACCCAAGAAGAAAGCCCCGGCUAACUACGUG
Molecule: ribosomal RNA, 487 nt
Filed under: uncultured bacterium
Lineage: Bacteria
Description: bacterial SSU rRNA
Rfam family: Bacterial small subunit ribosomal RNA
Source: RNAcentral